Molecule: ribosomal RNA, 239 nt
Filed under: uncultured bacterium
Lineage: Bacteria
Description: partial 16S ribosomal RNA
Rfam family: Bacterial small subunit ribosomal RNA
Source: RNAcentral
GAUCCUGGCUCAGGAUGAACGCUGGCGGAGUGCUUAACACAUGCAAGUCGAACGAAGCACUUUGAUUGAUUUCUUCGGAAUGAAGUUUUAGUGACUGAGUGGCGGACGGGUGAGUAACGCGUGGGUAACCUGCCUCACACAGGGGGAUAACAGUUGGAAACGGCUGCUAAUACCGCAUAAGCGCACAGUGCCGCAUGGUACGGUGUGAAAAACUCCGGUGGUGUGAGAUGGACCCGCGU